GAUGAAGAACGCAGCGAAAUGCGAUAAGUAAUGUGAAUUGCAGAAUUCAGUGAAUCAUCGAAUCUUUGAACGCACAUUGCGCCCGCCAGUAUUCUGGCGGGCAUGCCUGUUCGAGCGUCAAUUCAACCAUCAAGCCCCGGGCUUGUGUUGGGGACCUGCGGCUGCCGCAGGCCCUGAAAAGCAGUGGCGGGCUCGCUGUCACACCGAGCGUAGUAGCAUACAUCUCGCUCUGGGCGUGCUGCGGGUUCCGGCCGUUAAACCACCUUUUAACCCAAGGUUGACCUCGGAUCAGGUAGGAAGACCCGCUGAACUUAAGCAUAUCAAUAAGCGGAGGA
This 335-nucleotide unclassified non-coding RNA is filed under the name soil metagenome. RNAcentral describes it as "partial contains 5.8S ribosomal RNA, internal transcribed spacer 2, and large subunit ribosomal RNA". The stretch from base 1 to 120 matches the Rfam family "5.8S ribosomal RNA", at positions 35 to 154 of the family's 154-position model. The record is from RNAcentral.